UUUUAAUUUGCCAAAAAUACAUUUAAUUAUAUCAAUUGGACAAAUUAAGUAAAUUAAGUUUAGUUUGCUAAAAAAAAAAAAGAAAAGAAAGAAAAAAAGUAGGCCUAGUAGAGCUAGUCAAUCACAAACUGUCUAUACCAGUCUCUGAAUUACAAAACGAAAAAAAGACAGUCCAUCAUCCCUGUAGAAAAUCAGUUAUAUCUUCUACAAACGAAAUGCACAACUAAAUCAAUAAUGUUAUUCAAGACAGUCUUCCUGAAACUCCUCAGUGUUUAAUGUCAAGAAUCAGCCUACAAGAAGAAGUCAUAUAUUGAUGCAAAACAAUUUAUUCUUCAUUAACAAUCCAGCGCCAUGCGUUUAUCAUGUUUCUGAGUGCGGGAGCUCAUGGAACUAUAAUAUCAGUGGCGGCGUUGGCGGAAGGAGACCAUCGAGAGUAGGAGUGCUGCUAGCGCAGAUUACGUCACGCGGUUGGCGACAGAAUGUCUGAGUGAGGCGCGAGUAAGCUACACGUGAAUGUGAAAUCUGGGAAAACACUGCGAGCUGAGAGUGCGUUUCAAGAAGUGUGCAGAAUUAUAAAACAGUUCUUAUAUGUCCAAAAUUGGUCACAUAAUUGUUUUAAUUUAUUAGGGUUUUUUUUUUUUCUUUUACAAUAUUGUGACUUGCAAGGGUCAUAUAGAAGCUGCAGCUUGGACAUCAGGCCUACUUGUUCUCACUUUAUUUGCAUAGCUUCUUAUAAGCAGAUUUUUACAGUCACUGCAUUGGAUUCAUUAUCAUUUUUCUACAACAGUAUCACCCACUGCUGAGGAGGGAGGAGAGGUCGUCGGAGGGCCUCUCACCUCUGCCACUGAGCCUUCAUUCACCCUCAUCACAAUGGAGCCGGACGGAAUGUGAGAUGUUCCUUCAAUUCAACAUUGUACAGUAAUUUCUCAAGAGACGAGAGCUGUGGUGCUACGUCCAUCUGGAGAUAUUUGACUUCUCUUCUCUGAUGAAGUUUCCCGAUGGACAAUAUCAAGUCCAGCACUUCAUAUUUUCUUGUUAGAGAAGCUGUUUCACUCGGAUACAUCAUACUAGGGGGAAAAAGACUAUCGCAAAUUCCAUUUUGUGCCGUUUCAUAGGUAAAAUAUUCUCAAUUAUGUCAAUAAAAUAAUACUAAUAAAAACAAUAUACCUGGCAAAA
Molecule: long non-coding RNA, 1176 nt
Organism: Megalobrama amblycephala (Wuchang bream)
Lineage: Eukaryota; Metazoa; Chordata; Actinopteri; Cypriniformes; Xenocyprididae
Exons: 4
Source: RefSeq, a predicted model, not a curated record